UCUGGCGGCGUCGAGCAUCUCCUCGUCGUCUUUCCCCUCCGUUUCCUUCCCUUCCCUUCAUAAGUGGGUCUCUACCCGUGGUCCCCACUCCACCCGGCUCCCUACGCGCACCGGCUGCCCUUGCGCCCAGCCCAGCCGGACCCUCUCCAUGGCCACAGGCGACUACCGGUGCAACAGGACCCUUAGGCUCGAAGCAGGCCAGUCGGUGCUGCCCGGCUCAUUACUCUUCGCGGCGGGGCUGCUGGGCAACGUGUUGGCGUUGGGGCUGCUGUGGCAGCACCAUCUGAAGGCAAAGUUGCAGCGCGGCGAGGGGCGCCCGCGGGCGUCCGCCUUCUAUCUUCUGGUGAGCACCCUGGCCGCCACGGACCUGCUGGGCAAGUGUUUGCUGAGCCCGAUCGUGCUGGCCGCCUAUGCUCACAAUCGCAGUCUCAUCGACCUGUGGCCUCCCGCCGCCGCCCCCGAAGUCAGCCACCCCGGGGAGGAAGCGACCCGCUCCCCCGGCACGCUGUGUCAGAUGUUCGCGUUCCUCAUGGCUUUCUUCGGCUUAGCGUCCACCACGCUGCUGCUGGCCAUGGCCCUGGAGUGCUGGCUCUCGCUCGGCCAGCCUUACUUCUACGAACACCACACCAGCCGGCGUUGGGGCGCGCUGCUCACCGGCACGGCGGCCGUCCUCUGCGCGCUCUUCUGCGCCCUGCCGUUCCUGGGCUUCGGCAGCAAUGUUCAGUACUGUCCGGGCACGUGGUGCUUCAUUCGCAUGGCCGGCGGCGGACGGCUCUAUUCGGUGCUCUACGCGACCCUGCUGGGCUUGCUGGUGCUGGCCGUGGGCCUGUGCAAUCUGGGCAGCAUGAGGAGCCUCUAUCGGAUGGCCCGUCGGCAGCCCCCGCGCAGGACCCACCUGAUUGACCCGCAGGGCGCAGCCGCCCCUGCCAGACUCCCUUCCUCCGGGCGCACCGAGGAGCUGGGACAGUUGGUCUUGCUGGCGCUCAUGACCGCCCUUUUCACCAUCUGCUCCCUGCCGUUGAUCAUCCGAGCUUACAUUGGAGCUUUUGCCCCUGAUGCAAAUGAGGCAGCCGAUCUUACAGCCCUCCGUUUUUUCUCUGUCAAUUCCAUUGUGGAUCCCUGGGUCUUCAUCAUUUUUCGGACAUCCAUAUUUCGCAGUUUGCUCCAGCGGUUUUCUAGGAGGCUGAGUUUGAAGAAGGAUCUGCAUUUCCAGGAUCAGCUCUUGGGAACUUGGCAGAGGAAAGAAUCCAAUGAAAUACGAUAAAUGGGCUGGAGCUGGAAAUGAACUGGACUUCUUCUUGGGGCACCUCCUGGUCUUCAGAGCCAAAGUAUUACAAGUCAACGUUUAUUAAGGUUGAAAAGAGGGACCAAGGUGACUCUGUGAUACUGGCUGGAGCUUCAUUGGUAGACUCUGUUCUGGAUUUGGUGCUUCUUGAAAAACCCAAGAUGCAGUUGUCACAGGACUCAUUCACAUUACAGUGACAAUUUACUUGACCGGUGGGAUCCAUUUGCACAGAAGCAUUUAAAAAUGCAUUUUUAAGUCCAAAUAUUCUACCAGUGAUACUGGCCACUUUGAGUUCCAAUUACCUUUCCUACCAACAAAUUUUAUUUGCAUGCUGCAAAUAUAUGGUUUAAAUGAUUAAAAGGUGAGAAGGAGAAGAGGAAUUUUUUCUGAAUGUGUGAACCCCUCCCCAAGCAUGGGAGCUGAUACUAAAUGACCAACCAUGGAAUCAUGGAAGACAGCUAAUUGCCAGAAUUUGGGCUGCACAGAUGAUCAUCAUGGAUCUGCUAUUGUUCCACUUGGUCAAAAUUCAUUUUCCGCAACAAAAAUUGAAUUCCAGGUAGACCUGUAAAAGAUUGCACUGAACAAUGUCAAAGAGAUUGCAGAAUUAUUUCCUUUCAGCCUGCCAUUACAGUUAAAACACAUGGGUUUCAACUUAAUAUAAACAAAAUCUAUGAUUUUUCCACACAAUUCAUUACUGUGAUUAAAAGAAAAAGAAUUAAGACACAUACAAAGCCUACAGUGACACCUCUGGAUUUCCUGGUCACAUCUGUCUGGACAUUGUUGGUUGAGUGUUAUAUUAAUCUUUAGUGGCUUAUUAUAUUUUUCUCCACUGAUCCUGUGCAAUGAAACAGUUAUGGUCAGCCUUUGAUAUUUCUGCAGCUCAGAUAUUAUGGAGAUAUUCUCUGAAAAAAGAGCAAGAAAGUGUUUAGUUUUUAGCUAUUUUUAUAGUGUGUGUAAACUAGAAUACAGGUAUAUUCCAGAAUUCUGCUAAAUGUUUGUUUCUAGAAAAUAUAUGCGUGCAUUUUUUAAUACUUACAGUCAUCUGAAAAGACUGAUCCAUGAUGUUCUGUAACUGAUAUUUUACUACUUUGCAUCCUCUAUUUAAUAAGAUGAGCCAAUGACUUAGUUUCUUUAACCAUUAUUCAUUCAAUUGAUUAUAGGGGCUGUGUGAGGUUUAAGUCAAAGCAAACAAAUUACAGGAUGAUUUAGCAAAAUGUGUGACCCAACCAGAGAAUUUUGCAAGUUUAGAUAUUUAAUGUUUAGCCUCCUGUAAGAACAUUCCAGAUUUUGCUAAAUGUCUAAUAAUAAAGAAUGCAUCUUGCUGCUAACUUAUUGGAGGCAACCCAAUGCUUAAGCAUGCAAAAUGUUCUAGGUUUGAUCCGGCAGUUGCACAUAACUG
Crotalus tigris (Tiger rattlesnake) is the source of this 2684-nucleotide RNA transcript. It is a transcript of the gene named prostaglandin D2 receptor, with no coding region annotated. The transcript has 3 exons. NCBI's taxonomy places the organism in Eukaryota, Metazoa, Chordata, Lepidosauria, Squamata, Viperidae. The record is from RefSeq and is a predicted model, not a curated record.